RNAcentral lists this long non-coding RNA (837 nucleotides) under Salvia miltiorrhiza (redroot sage). RNAcentral's name for it is "long non-coding RNA (SMIL_LNC006338)". The record is from RNAcentral. Lineage: Eukaryota; Viridiplantae; Streptophyta; Magnoliopsida; Lamiales; Lamiaceae.
GCCAGCCAUGCUAGGAAGCUAAUAUGAUAACAUUAAACUUGAUAAGUUACACCAAAAUCUCAAGAGUAGUUUGAGACUUCGAAAACUGUACAAAACAAAAGGUUGGGUGUAACUACAACAUUAUAUUUUCCAAAAAUAUUUACUUGACGCGCCCAUUCGAUCCUCUACGCGUCUCCAACCUUAGUUACCUGAAAAUGUUAAAUAUGGGAUGAGCAUAUGAAAUAUACUCAGUGUGGGAACAUGCAAUAAUUGUCCACGUUAAUAAAAUGGGAAUCACAUAUGAUCAAUACAUUCGUAACUGAAAGUCGCACGGUGGCAUACCAAGGACCUUUCCGUCUUGGACCGAUUGAGCCGGCCCCUGGCGACUGGUUGCAACCCUAACUUUAACAUGAAAUCGCAUUGUGGCAUACCAAGGACUGUGAAGUCCUGGACCCAUUGAGCGGGCCCCUAGCGAUAUAAUUUAAUGCAACAACACAUAUGGCAAACACAUAAUAUUAAAAUGGACAACAAUUAACCACAGCAUGUACUGAAAUAAAUCCCACACCUGAAACUUUAACUUUGAAAUUGACUGGGAGAAAUUAAAGUUCACGUUCCUAGUCGCGCCGCACCUAGUCAUAUAAAUUCAAAUAAUAAAACAUAAGGCCUAAUUGAUCUUUAUUAGCAAAAUAAUCUAUACUUUAGAAAAUUAUUCAUGAAAGUCUUUAAAAAAAAACUAAAAAAUUAGGAAAUGAUAAUUAAAGAAAUAAUUGUGGGCUUAAAUAAAUUAUACUUGCUAUUAAAAGAUUAACUAAGUCAAAAGCCCAAUAGAUUAAAAACAAAUAAGGCUCAAGCCCAUAC